GAUGAACGCUAGCGACAGGCUUAACACAUGCAAGUCGAGGGGCAGCGGGGGUGAUGGCUUGCCAUCACCUGCCGGCGACCGGCGCACGGGUGAGUAACACGUAUGCAACCUGCCCGCCACAGGGGGAUAAGCGGAAGAAAUUCCGUCUAAUACCGCGUGACGCGGCGUCGGGGCAUCCCGGUGCCGCCAAAGGGAUUACCGGUGGCGGAUGGGCAUGCGGCGCAUUAGCUAGUCGGCGGGGUAACGGCCCACCGAGGCGACGAUGCGUAGGGGUUCUGAGAGGAAGGUCCCCCACACUGGUACUGAGACACGGACCAGACUCCUACGGGAGGCAGCAGUGAGGAAUAUUGGUCAAUGGGCGCGAGCCUGAACCAGCCAAGUCGCGUGAGGGAUGACGGUCCUACGGAUUGUAAACCUCUUUUGCCGGGGAGCAAGCGUGCGUUCGUGAACGCGCGUCGAGAGUACCCGGAGAAAAAGCAUCGGCUAACUCCGUGCCAGCAGCCGCGGUAAUACGGAGGAUGCGAGCGUUAUCCGGAUUUAUUGGGUUUAAAGGGUGCGUAGGCGGGAUGCCAAGUCAGCGGUAAAAAUGCGGUGCUCAACGCCGUCGAGCCGUUGAAACUGGCGUUCUUGAGUGGGCGAGAAGUAUGCGGAAUGCGUGGUGUAGCGGUGAAAUGCAUAGAUAUCACGCAGAACUCCGAUUGCGAAGGCAGCAUACCGGCGCCCUACUGACGCUGAGGCACGAAAGCGUGGGUAUCGAACAGGAUUAGAUACCCUGGUAGUCCACGCAGUAAACGAUGAAUGCUAACUGUCCGGCGCGAAUGAGCGCUGGGCGGUACAGCGAAAGCGUUAAGCAUUCCACCUGGGGAGUACGCCGGCAACGGUGAAACUCAAAGGAAUUGACGGGGGCCCGCACAAGCGGAGGAACAUGUGGUUUAAUUCGAUGAUACGCGAGGAACCUUACCCGGGCUCAAACGCAGGAUGACGGGUCCCGAAAGGGGCCUUUCUUCGGACAUUCUGCGAGGUGCUGCAUGGUUGUCGUCAGCUCGUGCCGUGAGGUGUCGGCUUAAGUGCCAUAACGAGCGCAACCCCUGUUCACAGUUGCCAGCAGGUAAAGCUGGGGACUCUGUGGAGACUGCCGGCGCAAGCUGCGAGGAAGGCGGGGAUGACGUCAAAUCAGCACGGCCCUUACGUCCGGGGCGACACACGUGUUACAAUGGCAGGUACAGCGGGAUGCCACGGGGCGACCCGGCGCUGAACCCGAAAACCUGUCUCAGUUCGGAUUGGAGUCUGCAACCCGACUCCAUGAAGCUGGAUUCGCUAGUAAUCGCGCAUCAGCCACGGCGCGGUGAAACGUUCCCGGGCCUUGUACACACCGCCCGUCAAGCCAUGGAAGCCGGGGGUACCUGAAGUGCGUGACCGCGAGGAGCGCCCUAGGGUAAAACCGGUGACUGGGGCU
Molecule: ribosomal RNA, 1456 nt
Filed under: uncultured bacterium
Lineage: Bacteria
Description: partial 16S ribosomal RNA
Rfam family: Bacterial small subunit ribosomal RNA
Source: RNAcentral